GAAUUCGAUUGAGUUUGAUCAUGGCUCAGGACGAACGCUGGCGGCGUGCUUUACACAUGCAAGUCGAGCGGUAAGGCCCUUCGGGGUACACGAGCGGCGAACGGGUGAGUAACACGUGGGUGACCUGCCCUCCACUCUGGGAUAAGCCCGGGAAACUGGGUCUAAUACCGGAUAUGACCACAUGUCGCAUGGUGUGUGGUGGAAAGCGUUUAGUGGUGGGGGAUGGACCCGCGGCCUAUCAGCUUGUUGGUGGGGUAAUGGCCUACCAAGGCGACGACGGGUAGCCGGCCUGAGAGGGCGAUCGGCCACACUGGGACUGAGACACGGCCCAGACUCCUACGGGAGGCAGCAGUGGGGAAUAUUGCACAAUGGGCGGAAGCCUGAUGCAGCGACGCCGCGUGAGGGAUGACGGCCUUCGGGUUGUAAACCUCUUUCAGUACCGACGAAGCGAGAGUGACGGUAGGUACAGAAGAAGCACCGGCCAACUACGUGCCAGCAGCCGCGGUAAUACGUAGGGUGCGAGCGUUGUCCGGAAUUACUGGGCGUAAAGAGCUCGUAGGCGGUUUGUCACG
RNAcentral lists this ribosomal RNA (572 nucleotides) under uncultured bacterium. RNAcentral's name for it is "bacterial SSU rRNA". It matches the Rfam family "Bacterial small subunit ribosomal RNA", at positions 1 to 587 of the family's 1533-position model. The record is from RNAcentral.